Molecule: ribosomal RNA, 426 nt
Filed under: uncultured bacterium
Lineage: Bacteria
Description: bacterial SSU rRNA
Rfam family: Bacterial small subunit ribosomal RNA
Source: RNAcentral
GUGGGGAAUAUUGGACAAUGGGCGCAAGCCUGAUCCAGCAAUGCCGCGUGGGUGAAGAAGGCCUUCGGGUUGUAAAGCCCUUUUGUACGGGAAGAAAAGCUGCCGAUUAAUACUCGGUGGUCAUGACGGUACCGUAAGAAUAAGCACCGGCUAACUUCGUGCCAGCAGCCGCGGUAAUACGAAGGGUGCAAGCGUUAAUCGGAAUUACUGGGCGUAAAGCAUGCGUAGGUGGUUUGUUAAGUCUGAUGUGAAAGCCCUGGGCUCAACCUGGGAAUGGCAUUGGAUACUGGCUUACUAGAGUGCGGUAGAGGGUAGCGGAAUUUCCGGUGUAGCGGUGAAAUGCGUAGAGAUCGGAAGGAACAUCCGUGGCGAAGGCGGCUACCUGGACCAGCACUGACACUGAGGCACGAAAGCGUGGGGAGCAAA